Acanthochromis polyacanthus (spiny chromis) is the source of this 432-nucleotide long non-coding RNA. RefSeq lists it as uncharacterized. Lineage: Eukaryota; Metazoa; Chordata; Actinopteri; Pomacentridae. The transcript is spliced from 3 exons. The record is from RefSeq and is a predicted model, not a curated record.
ACGAGCUAAGAAGCAGCUUUUCUAGGAUCCACAGCUUUAAACAGCUACUUUACUAAGCUUAGAGUUUAAAAAUUGGUGUUUUCUUGUGUUUGCUGAUUGGUCUGUCAUGUUUACUGUUGGGAGUCUGUCAACACGGAGCAGAUAAUGAUUGAUGGAGGACGUCAUUGUGACCACUGGAGUCUGUUCGACAACAACAGAAGGAGAAUAUUAGUUUAUUUUGUUUUACUUUGGACUAAAGCAGGCGGAUGAUGUUUGUCAGGAUGGUUUCAGUUUCUCUCCUGUUGCUGUUGCUGUCCGUCCUGUUUUCAGCUCAAAGUUUCGCUGUAAAGACGGACGAGUUUCUCGGCCCUCCAGAGUGUCUGGAAAACAGGUUUACUCGUGAAUUGUGUGACUUGGUGUUCUGUCCUCCAUGGCAGCGCUGCUUCAACGGAC